RNAcentral lists this ribosomal RNA (375 nucleotides) under uncultured bacterium. RNAcentral's name for it is "bacterial SSU rRNA". It matches the Rfam family "Bacterial small subunit ribosomal RNA", at positions 523 to 898 of the family's 1533-position model. The record is from RNAcentral.
AUACGUAGGGGGCAAGCGUUGUCCGGAAUUACUGGGCGUAAAGGGUGCGUAGGCGGUUAUUUAAGUCAGAUGUGAAAUCCCCGGGCUUAACUCGGGUGGUGCAUUUGAAACUGGGUAACUAGAGUGCAGGAGAGGGAAGCGGAAUUCCUAGUGUAGCGGUGAAAUGCGUAGAUAUUAGGAGGAACACCAGUGGCGAAGGCGGCGUUCUGGACUGUAACUGACGCUGAGGCACGAAAGCGUGGGGAGCAAACAGGAUUAGAUACCCUGGUAGUCCACGCUGUAAACGAUGGAUACUAGGUGUAGGGGGCUAAAGCCCUCUGUGCCGCAGCAAACGCAAUAAGUAUCCCGCCUGGGGAGUACGGCCGCAAGGUUGAA